RNAcentral lists this long non-coding RNA (3731 nucleotides) under Musa acuminata (dwarf banana). RNAcentral describes it as "long non-coding RNA (MACU_LNC001500)". The record is from RNAcentral. Lineage: Eukaryota; Viridiplantae; Streptophyta; Magnoliopsida; Zingiberales; Musaceae.
UUUCAUCGAACGAAGGCUUAAGAUGUCUCACACGUGUGCCAGUUUCAAGAUUCAGGUAUAUUCCAACUUCCGAAGGGGCCUUCCGCUUCUCGUUUCGUUCCCCCUUCUCCGCCUCCUUUCUCUCUUUGGUUCGGCGAGGGCGGCGGCGAAGGCGAAGGCGGAGGAGGAGCCCGAGGAGCGGCGGCUGCGGAGAUCGAACUACAAGGUUACGGCUCUCAAGUCGGUCGACGUUAGCCACUCGUGCGUCGGCCCCCUUCACCAGCCCCCUCAUCAUCAUCGAGUAAUAUUCUUGCUUUCCAAAUAUCCUCUAUCGUUUUCGAUCUUGGUUUUAGGGUUUUACGGCUCGUAAUUGGAUCUUUCUAUCGUUUUCUUGGAGAUUCUCUCGCUCUAAGGUUUCGUUUGGGCUGAAAGGCUCCCUUCUUGUUAGGACGGAACCCUGUGUCUGUGAGUUCUUGACUUUCUUGGUUUUAAUUUUUUGGUGUGAGUGGAGUGACGUUCUUGCUUCCUAAAUAUUUUGACAACUACGCGCACAACGGAUUGGAUUAUAUUGCUUAUAUGGUUAGAGCGGACUAUCGUAGGCUAAAUUUAGAUUGUUGCUGUCAUUUAUUGUUCUUGAUUGAUAUUUAUGUAUCUUUUUUGCAUUUUUUUUUAGUAAAUGCACACACAUCAAGAUCCAUUUGCUUGCUUCUUGUGGACAGCAGGUAUUAGGAUCAUAUAUUUUUCUAUGAUCCUUAUCCAUCAAUUUAGGUUGUUUCUUUCAUUUUUUUUUUCCUUUGAGUGAUGCUUAUGCAUCUCUUUGCAUCAGAGAAAAGAGUUACAUCGAUUUUGUAACCAGGCAUCUUGCCUUUUUGUUUUCGGUAAAUGCACAUGCAUUGAGAUCCAUUUAUUUACUCCGCAAGGACUGCAGGUAAAAGAUUAUAAUUGUUCUUAGAUUAUUAUCCAUUUUUUUCUCUGUCUAGUUGACUGUUGAUGCAACUGGAAGUUCUUUUUUGUGGCACAUUUAACAAAGAAUAUUAAGCUCUUGGAGUGCCCAAAGUACAAACUAUUAAUAGUUUCCAUUGAGAUCCAUUUUUUGUUCACCGCUUUUCUAAAAUAGGAGAGCUGUGGAAAAUAGUUAAUCUUCCAUACAUUUAGAAACCCAAACAUCAAAAGAUUUUUGUUGGAAAUCAUGUUUGGGUAUUCUCUUAUCAUGUCUGGAUUUGAUUGGUCAUUGUUGUUGUCAUGUUUGAGUUGAAGGAUAUUUUGCUUUUUUGGACAUGCUAUUGAAGCAUUUAUUGCUCUAGGAAAUUUGUCAAGAUGGUUUGGCAUCUUUAUCUAGAAUACAUUGGACCAAAGGGAAAAUAUUUAGGAAAUUUAAUUGAAUGUGGAAAAUGAUUUGACCAAAACAUAUGGUAUAAAACGAGCUCCAUCACAUACCUAUGGAUUGUUAUCAUUGUUACCGCCCAUUUGUCUUUAGAUGGUGACAACAAAAUUGGGCGCCUGAGUCUAUGUUUUCUCUAUAUUUAAUACCAUUAAUACCAAGGCCAAUACAAUUUGUUUAUGUAUGUUAACAGAUAAUAAUAAUUGUGUUUUGAAAAUGCUAAGAACUUCACUUUAUUUUUUGGCCAUUGUCUUAUUAGUAGCCGGAUUAAUGUGUUAUUCCCUUUUCUCACUGUCUCCUAACAAAACAUGGUUCAGCUCCAUUUGGUUGGCUUGAUUUAUAUGCUAUGCUUGUUUGGUAUUCCAUAAAUCAGAAAAUCCAUAGUUAGCUUCUUGUCAAAUCUACAUGUUAGAACUAGUCUUUUGUCAACUUUGCCCAAGUUGGAUGUACCUGUAUAGGCAAGAAUUGCAACACUUGAACUUUUUCUUCCUCAUGCGAGUCUUUAUACUCCCAUGCAUUUUCUAUAUGAAAUCUUUUCUUAGUUCUUGGUUUCUUACAUAUAUGUGCACAUCUUUAUAGGGUGAACCUUAAGACUGUGGAGAGGUAUUAAUCUUAAUCUUGGGAUGCUGAGACAUCAAAGCUCAUCGCAAGGUAAAGAAAUUAUGAUUAUGCUUUUUUAGUUUUAUGAGAAAGUGAAAAAAUCAAUUAGAGUAAAAAGUUAGUCCAAGAAUAAAAGGUUAUGUUAGCAACUUGGAAUACAAGUACACUUUAAGGGAAUGGAUUAGAAUUGAUGGACACUAUGAUAAGAAGAAGAAUAAAUAUUAUUUGCUUAUAGGAGACUAAAUGGAUAGGAAAAAAAUCUAGAGAGAUUGAUAGUACUGGAUUUAAAAUUUGAUAUACUGAAAUAGUGAAACACAAGAUGACAUAGGAAUUGUUGUCGAUAAGGUUCUUAAGAACAAUGUUAUAGAUGUAAAAAGGUUUGGAGAUAAAAUUAUUGUUCUAAAAUUUAUAAAGGAACGAGAUUUUGUGAAUGUCAUUAAUGCUUAUUCCUCUUAAGUGAGAUUGAAUAGUCAAACCAAAAGAGAAUUUUGGAAACUUAGAUAAUAUCAUUUAAGGAAUAUUUAUAACAAAACAUUUUAUAGUUGGAGGAGAUUUGAAUGAUCUUGUAGGGAAAACAUAUGGUAAAUAUAAAGAGGUAUAUAGGGGCUUUAGUUAUAGGGAGAGAAAUGAAAAUGAUGAUAUGAUUUUAGAUUUUGAAACUUUGUUUGAUCUUAUAAUUGUAAAUACUCACUUUAAGAAGAGAGAAACAUUUGAUUACUUAUAAGAAUGAUCACAAUUGUAGUCAAAUACAGACUUAUUUCUUUACGGCUUUAUUGUUGUUAUUAUAGAAGGUGAAAAAAACCAUGUUUGGUACUUUCAUCUAGAUAGAUUGAUCUACAUGGUCAUAUAAUGUUUUCCUUGAUCAGAUUUUUUUUCUUUUGUAGUGAGUAUUUUAAUGCUCAAGAGGAACAUGCAAUUUUGAAAAUAAUGAGGCUGUCAUUUUUAAUCUUAUUAUACACCAUAUGUAAUUCCACUUAGAAUCUCUGUGAAUGAAAUUGUGAAGAUUUUGGUAGAGAAGGCCGCCAUUGAGCUUUGUGUCUAGAUGGUGUCUAUCUCUAGAUCCAACUGCUUAUAUGAAUGCAUAGGUACAUAGAUAGUGUGUCUCUCUCGAUCCAAAUGCUUAUAUGAAUCGAUGGAUGUGUAUGUAUACACAUACAACUUUGUGCACAUAUGAUGAAAUUUUUAAUCUUGUUUCUAAAAUAACUGUUCCUUAUGUGUCUCAUGUAUGUGUGCAUGUAUCACACUGAAUAGUUCAAUCAUGAGACCCUAUAAUUUUGAAGUCAGUAGAGAAUGAACACUCCAUAUGUUACAGUUCAUCACAUUGAUCUUUUACCUUUUCAAACCAAUUUCCCGAUAUGAAAAAAUGACAUGUAUAUAUUUUUGAGUGUUCUAUCAGUUACUCAUGUUAAAUUUAAGAAACUAUAUAUUUUUGAGUUUCAUGUAGGUCUCAUGCUGAUGUUUCUUUCCAAGUAUUCAGACCAGUCUCCUCUUUCUUUUGAGACAUUAAUCAUGUGUUUAAUUAUUCCCAUAUGUUUCCCAGCAAUGGAAUCUUUAGAUGAAUACACGAGAAAUAGAAAAAAGAGCUUCCAGUUUUCUAUUAGAUGCUUGAUAAUAAACGUUCCUUUGUGGUUGAGAGAUGACAUAAUAUAAGCAAUCGGUUAUUAGUUUUAACUGCUUGCAUGAUCAAUGACAUGAGUUAGUUUUUUUGUACACCAAUGGGCAUAAAGACUUACACAGAUGCAUUUGGUCAUUCCAUGAAAGUCAAAAAGGU